AGCGAACGCUGGCGGCAGGCCUAACACAUGCAAGUCGAGCGGGCGUAGCAAUCUUUCAGCUGCAUACGGGUGCGGACCGCGUGGUAACGUCCCUUUUGGUUCGGAACAGCACGGGGUAACUUGUGCUAAUACCGGCUAAGACCUCACGGGUAAAGAUGUAAUGCCGGAGGAUCGGCCCGCGUCUGAUUAGCUAGUUGGUCAGGUGAUGGCUCACCAAGGCGACGAUAAGUAGCUGGUCUGAGAGGAAGAUCAGCCACAUUGGGACGGAGACGCAGUGCAAAAUCUUGCGCGAGGCAGCAGUGGGUAAUAUUGGAAAACCGGGUGUGGGAUGAAGGUGCCAGGCCGGGUGAGUGAUGAAGGCCGUAGGGUUGUAAAGCUAGUUUGUGCGGGAAGAUAAUGACGGUACCGAAAGAAUAAGCCCCGGCUAACUUCGUG
This 435-nucleotide ribosomal RNA is filed under the name uncultured bacterium. RNAcentral's name for it is "partial 16S ribosomal RNA". It matches the Rfam family "Bacterial small subunit ribosomal RNA", at positions 29 to 507 of the family's 1533-position model. The record is from RNAcentral.